GACGAACGCUGGCGGCGUGCUUAAUACAUGCAAGUCGAACGGAAAGGCCCUGCUUUUGCGGGGUGCUCGAGUGGCGAACGGGUGAGUAUCACGUGAGUAACCUGCCCUUGACUUUGGGAUAAAUUCAGGAAACUGGGGCUCAUACCGGAUAUGAGCUCCUGCUGCAUGGUGGGGGAUGGAAAGUUUCGGCGGUUGGGGAUGGACUCGCGGCUUAUCAGCCUGUUUGUGGGGUAGUGGCUUACCAAGGCUUGCACGGGUAGCCGGCCUGAGCGGGUGACCGGCCACAUUGAGACUGAGAUACGGCCGAGACUCCUACGGGAGGCAGCAGUGGGGAAUAUUGCACGAGGGGCGGAAGCCUGAUGCAGCAACGCCGCGUGCGGGAUGACGGCCUUCGUGUUGUAAACCGCUUUCGCCUGUGACGAAGCGUGAGUGACGGUAAUGGGUAAGGAAGCACCGGCUAACUACGUG
RNAcentral lists this ribosomal RNA (468 nucleotides) under uncultured bacterium. RNAcentral's name for it is "partial 16S ribosomal RNA". It matches the Rfam family "Bacterial small subunit ribosomal RNA", at positions 28 to 507 of the family's 1533-position model. The record is from RNAcentral.